UUGCACAAAGCCAGGGGCCCAGCUGCACAGCAGCUGCUGAUUCCUUUUCCUCUGGCUUCCUCCAAGGCCUUCACCAUGGUGCUGUGCCUCCUGCCUCUCCUCCUUCUCCCAGGGGUUUUGGUGCCAGCUUCCAGGGCGCAACCAGUGCUGACUCAGCCGGCCUCCAUUUUAGUGUUACCGGGACAAACAGUGAAACUCUCUUGUGCCCUGAAUCCUGGUUACAACAUCCGGGAGUUCGGGGUCGCCUGGUACCAGCAGAGACCUGGCAGCCCUCCGAGGUACCUGCUGUAUUACAAUUCGGAGGUGGACAAGGAAAAGCCCUCCGGAAUUCCGGACCGCUUCUCUGCGUCCAAAGACCUCGCCAGCAACGCCUGCGUUCUGACCAUCACUGGGGUCCAGGCUGAGGACCACGCUGACUAUUAUUGCUCGGUCAGAUAUCCCAUCUACUAUCUCUAGAAAUGUGGAACCAAAACCUGUGCUGUUGCCCGGGGGACUCUGAUGAGCCCCAGCUUGCAGAGCAUCGUGCUGAAGGAACCGCAGCCCUAUAAGGAACGGAAAAAAGAAACGGCUCAUGUUCUCCACUCUUGAAUUAGCCUACAGGUGAAGCCCCCGCCCCCGGUCAGUUAUGCUCAGACAGCUGUGACUGAUGGUGGCUUCCUGUUUGAUGGGUGUCACCUGGUGGAGCACAGAAUGCUAAGAGACACGCAGGGCCAAAUCCUGCCAGGUGCUGGGCACCUGCAGCUCCCACU
Non-coding RNA from Chelonoidis abingdonii (Abingdon island giant tortoise), 749 nucleotides. The record is from the annotation of a RefSeq genome assembly. Lineage: Eukaryota; Metazoa; Chordata; Testudines; Testudinidae.